This 393-nucleotide ribosomal RNA is filed under the name uncultured bacterium. RNAcentral's name for it is "bacterial SSU rRNA". It matches the Rfam family "Bacterial small subunit ribosomal RNA", at positions 362 to 770 of the family's 1533-position model. The record is from RNAcentral.
UAUUGCACAAUGGGGGGAAUCCUGAUGCAGCGACGCCGCGUGAGUGAAGAAGUAAUUCGUUAGGUAUAGCUCUAUCAGCAGGGAAGAAUAAAUGACGGUACCUGAUUAAGAAGCCCGGGCUAACUACGUGCCAGCAGCCGCGGUAAUACGCAGGGGGCAAGCGUUAUCCGGAUUUACUGGGUGUAAAGGGAGCGUAGACGGCAGCGCAAGUCUGGAGUGAAAUGCCGGGGCCCAACCCCGGAACUGCUUUGGAAACUGUGCAGCUCGAGUGCAGGAGAGGUAAGCGGAAUUCCUAGUGUAGCGGUGAAAUGCGUAGAUAUUAGGAGGAACACCAGUGGCGAAGGCGGCUUACUGGACUGUAACUGACGUUGAGGCUCGAAAGCGUGGGGAGCA